This 1254-nucleotide ribosomal RNA is filed under the name Triticum aestivum (bread wheat). Its description in RNAcentral is "partial small subunit ribosomal RNA". The record is from RNAcentral. Lineage: Eukaryota; Viridiplantae; Streptophyta; Magnoliopsida; Poales; Poaceae.
AUGUGGCCUGGAAGCUAUGUUACAGAAAAUGAGGUUAAACAGGUGAUCAUGGACAUGCCAGUGGAUAGAGCUCCUGGGCCCGACGGUUUCUCGGGACUUUUCUACAAGGUCUGCUGGGACAUAAUUUCGCAAGAUUUUAUGGCGGUAAUGCUCGAGCUGCACAGGAAUAAGUUUUUGUCCUUUGGCUUAUUGAACUCUUCAAUCAUCACUUUGCUGCCCAAGAAAGAGUGUUCCCUGGAGGUGGCUGAUUUCAGACCGAUAAAUUUAAUUCAUGGUGUAGCAAAAAUCUUUGCCAAAGUGUUGGCUGUUCGGCUUGCUCCCCUACUGUCGGCCCUCGUCUCUCAAGUACAGAGUGCGUUCAUAAGCCGUAGGAGCAUGCAUGAGAAUUUUAAGUUUGUGCACAACACAGCCAGAGAGUUGCACAGGAAGAAAAUCCCGUCGGUGUUGAUGAAAAUUGAUAUCUCUAAGGCAUUUGACACCCUGUCCUGGGAAUUCAUUAUUCAGAUUUUAAAGAGGAGAGGUUUUGGGAACCGUUGGUGCUCUUGGAUCUGCGGCCUUCUACGUACUGCUUCCUCCUCAGUGCGGGUUAAUGGUGAGAUUAGUGAGCCUUUCUCUCUGGGCAGUGGGGUGAGGCAAGGCGACUCACUGUCCCCUGCUCUUUUCAUCUUAGUCAUGGACGUCCUACAAGCCAUGAUCAAUUGGGCUGCACAGAACAACCUGUUAUCGAGCUUGGGUCUCAAUUCCAAUGUGCCGAGGACCUCCUUCUUUGCAGACGACGUGGUGCUCUUUUUGAGAAACUGCUCUAGUGAUAUGGAGGUGAUUGCUGCCAUCCUAAAACUUUUCGGAGAGGCUUCCGGGCUUCGCAUCAACCUGCAAAAGAGCACGGUCACUUGCAUCAGAUGCGAUGAGUCCUCCUCAGCGGCUGUGGCUCAGUUCUUCGGCUGCCAAUCCAAAUUAUUCCCGCUGCAGUACCUUGGAUUACCCCUCUCUAUUUACCGCUUAAAGAGACAGGACGUUUGGCCACUCAUUGACAAAUAUUCCAACAAGAUGAAGGGGUGGAAACCAAGGUUGAUGGCACCAGCUAGGCGCCUGACGCUCACUCAAUCGGUUCUCAUGGCGUUUCCAAUCCAUUUCCUCUCGGUGAUGCAGCUUCCGGCGUGGGCGUUGAAGAUUAUUAACAGGAGAUGCCGGGGCUUCUUAUGGAAGGGGAACUUGGAUAUUAAUGGGGGGCACUGCCUCCUGCCAUGGUCAUGA